Molecule: long non-coding RNA, 7991 nt
Filed under: Sus scrofa (pig)
Lineage: Eukaryota; Metazoa; Chordata; Mammalia; Artiodactyla; Suidae
Description: lncRNA (ENSSSCG00000054024.1)
Source: RNAcentral
UUUUUUUUUUUUUUUUUUUUUUUUUUUGCCAUUUCUAGGGCAGAUCCCGCAGCAUAUGGAGGUUCCCAGGCUAGGGGUCGAAUCGAGCUGUAGCCACCAGCCUACGCCAGAGCCACUGCAAUGCGGGAUCCGAGCCGAGUCUGCGACCUACACCACAGCUCAUGGCAACGCCAGAUCCUUGACCCACUGAGCAAGGCCAGGGAUCGAACCCAGAACCUGAUGGUUCCUAAUCGGAUUCGGUAACCACUGGCCAUGGGAACUCCAAUAGAUUUCUUGAGUAUCCUUUUAAACUGUGAGAUGGCUUAUCAGGUACUAUUUAAAAGGUUGAAAAUGGCAGAUUUUAAGUGUGAAUAUCUUAAUCGACAAAUAUUGAGUCCUGUUUUAUCUGAAUACCUAUCAUUAUCCCUAAGACACUUACUACCAUGCUGGGAGUUAAUAUCACAUACAUAUGAAAAGUUACCUAGUGAAGGUAUAUGCUAAAGACAAAAUGCCUUAAGAAUGGAAAUAAGCACUAGCUACCUGGAAACCAAAGUAAGAUAGUACGGGGAGCUAGCUUUGCUCUCCUGCUUGAGGAAGAGCAACUGAGCUGAAAACUUGGCAAGUGGUAAAGUAUAGGCUUUAGGGUAGGAGUUUCCAUUAAAAGCAGGAGGUGCCAGAUUGCAGUUGGCCUCAAAUGUCAGGCUAAAGUGUUCAUAGAGGAGGGCCUUGGGAAUUUUUUCUUUAAUACAAAGAAAUGAAUCAAUAAAAUAGUACCAUGGAUUCCUUUCAGUGCGCAAUAUUUAUAUCUUAGUGUAAAUACAGCAUUUGUCAAAUGAAAGACACUGCUCCCAUCUAAUGUCCACCGUGCUGCCUUUUUAAACCACUAACAUAUUAGUUGCAGAUACAAUACUAACAUUUAGCUUAAACCGCUGCACCAGGUUAAAUGAUAACUGGUGGUGUCAGGUUUCUACUCCUUUGACCCUAAAUGAAACUUUAGAGGUAAAACAUUUUCAGCCAGGGUGCAGGCCCUGGUGCCAUGUAAUCUAAUCUUCAUUUUAUAUUUAAACAGAAACUUUAUCUUAAAAAAAAAUCGUCUGUUAGUUAUGGGAGUAUGGGAGUGAGCUAAAAAGGCAUUUUGUUUUGAUCAACAUUCGACAUGCAUGGUUUUAGGAUUGCCAAACUGUUCCUGUCAUGUUUCGCUGGACUGGGUUGAUUUGUUGUUUUCUGUUUUUUUCUUUUAGGUUCUGGUUCCUUCCUGAUGAAUCUAUGAUUAAGGUGGUUUUUUUUUUUUUUUUAACAUAUUGAAAAGAUACUGCGUGAUUCAUAACCUAUGUGUUAGUUUUAAAUAACGAAUGUGAAUAAAUGUUUUAGGAGCAAGGGAAGUGCCUACUCAUGUCGCAGACAUUUAAUUGAAUGCCAUUAUCUUUUAAUGAAAUUUGACUGAUAACCUAAACCUUCCAUUUUUCUAGCUAUUUCUCUCUAUCCCUGCUUUCUAAACUGAGUUCUCAGUGGGACCAGGGAGUCAGAGGGCUGAUGUUCACAGGGUCCCUGAGAACGCUCAGUCACCUCAGUUGUUAUCUGAGUACACAGCAACUACCCCCCAUGUCCCAGAGAAGCAGCCGAGGAUCAGAGAGUUGACUGAGUAAAUUGUCACACCGCUAGUAAACACUGGGGACAAUGUCCAAACCAGACCUUCCAAGUCCUGAGUGACUUACGCCACGUUGCUUGCCCCUCUCUAAGUUAAAUUUGGGUGCCCUGAAGAGCUGUCUUUUCAUGACUGAAAUGCUGUAAUCCAAGUCUCUCUUUUGUCAGUCUUCCAACCAAUGGUGAUAGUUGAGACCCUGCUGGUGUCCUGUGGAGAAACGAAUGCUGUGCUGGGUAGAAAAAGUUUCUCUGAGUCUAGCCUAGUGAGCUGUGCGGCACUGAGUGAAGCGCCAGGUCUCUGAGAUUUGAACGGAGUGCUCCUGAAAGUCUUUCGAAGUUCUAGAAUCUGUGACUCUGAAUCAGAGGUUUUCAUCCAUAUCAGCAAAUACUCUGUUGUAGUUUAAUUUCUGUGCUAGGAUAACCCUGUCUACAAAUAGUGAUCAUGUCAUGGCAAUAAGAAAUGUAUUUUAAAAUCUUCGGUGUCCAGUUUGCACCCUCAUUGAAAUAAAAAAAUUCCAUGUAUGGAUUUUUGUUUCCCUUAGACAACACAAGACAUUUGACAGAAGAUCUUAUUUUUAUCAUUUCCAAAGUGUUAAAACCAAACCUUCCUUUAAAAAAAAAAAAACAUAUUACAGCUUAAUAAAAGUGGAACAGUAAAAAAACUGCCUCUAGAUCUCCUAGAGGAAGAACUUCUACCAGGAGAACAUAAAAAUUCCUAGAGGGUGGGAUCCAGGCCUUUUCCUCUUUCUGCUCUUUAUAUGCUUUACGAGUCAUCUACUUUCAAUGAUGACUUGUUUGAAUGAAUGAAUGAAUGAAUGAGUGAAGAAGGAAACACGGACAGAUUUGAGUUCUAGAGAAGGCAAGCAGCUGUGUAGGCUGCUCACAGCCCGAAUACUUACCAGAGUAAACAGUAGCGUCUGAAGGUCCUUGUCUUCAGUGGCUAGGAAAACAGGAGGGGAGGGAGGGGCCUCUGCUGAUGAACAGCUUUUGCAAGGAUUCCUGGAGCAUGAGGUAGGUCUCACUCUGCAAGAAACAUGCUAUUUGGGGUGGCCUAGAACACCCAAUAGUCCUCUGCUUCUGUGACAGGCCAGAAAAUGAGUACUUCUUGAUUAAUAUUGAAGGGACUUGUACAGCAAUGAAAUUUCAUCAGGAUCACUUUAACCUUAAUAUUUAUUUAGGUAUAAGAUUAGAAACAAUUAUUUGCAGCGUUGAUGCUCCACACCACCUAGGGCCCAGUUCCUGCCCGUAGCUCUUAACCACACUGCCAGCCCUUUCCCCAGAGCCCUUAAGAAUCCCCUGACCCAGCAACCAAAGGCCUGACACCCGGCUCCCGGCUCCCACCUGGCCAGCAGGCUCUCCGGCUCCUUUGUGCACCCGCCAUACAAGUCAUUAAAAACAUUUUCAUAUUACCUCUAUUUGUAUUUACCUAUUUAGACAGUUGUUUGUUUCAUGUCAUCAUGUCCGUUAAACUUGAGUUUACUGGUUUUUACUAACUGCAACUAAAAUGGGUAAUUUUUUGUCUAAAAUGUAAGUUGUUUGAGCAUAUAUCCAACUUGAGAAGAUUUAUGAAAAUCAUGUUUACUGGGUUACCAUGAAAUAUCAAAGUCUUCAGUUUUCCUUUCUAUUUUUCACCAAAUAAUGUUUUAGUAAACAGGUGUUGCCAGAGGUUAAAAAAAAAAAAGAUUCAUCAUCCUCUUUAUGGUGAACCCUUGUUUCCCACCCAAGAACCUCCACUUGGCUCUCUCCCCAGUCCUGCAUAGCCACUCACACUCCCUCGCUGACCUGUCCAAGUCACGCUGAUGAGGCCAGCGUUUACUGUUGCCUAAGUAUUCUGUCCCAGCCUGCCUGUAAAAAUGCGUCCCUGUAACCUUUUACAGAUCUCCAAGGUCACCAACUUGAUGAACUGGCAUUAAUUACAGGGAUGUUCUCUCCACCCCCAUUGGUGGGAAGAAUCACUUUAAGGUGGAAAUAAAAUGUAACAUAGUGAAAUGAGUAACACUUUUGGUUCAACAGUUCUAAAUCCGGUGCCCCGUAUUUACACCGGGAGCCUGGAAUUAAGUAGUGGUGGCAAGUGGCACGCUGACCGGACACUGUGGCAGGCAGUGGGACGGGGCUUGCCUCGUGCCAGUGUCAUCUCUCUGUGCGGGUAAAGCCACGGAAAGAGCAGAAAGAAUGGAAGGAUGGAAUCAAGAUCACGAAGCUGCUAGACUGUGAGAUGAGGAAAGAGAGAAAAGAUUGGGUUCACAGAACUCUUGGGCAGUCUUGUGAGCAAUCCCACCAGCUGCCGUGUCAGCAAUAAUCCCGCUCCCUCCCCUCCAGGACCGGCUUCCUCUCUGGCCCAGCGGCUGAUGGGCCGAGACAGCAGGCGUUCUCUGUGCCAGGUUCCUGGACCCCUAGGGACCGGUAGCCGACUUGACUUGCUCCUCUCCCUCAGCUGACCAGGUUUCAGCAUUUCAGCUGGUCCGGUGCCUGACUGCACAAAGGCACACUUUCACUUCAUCAGCCAGGCCCUGUCACUUGUCUGGAACAUGGAGCAGACACCAAGCAGGACGGGAGGGGCUGGCCAUCUUGCUGGCAGGGCCAUUAGCCAUGAGCCUGGUGGGGGAAGGAGGUCGUUCACCUCUAGGCUCAGACCACGGAUGUCUGAGAACUACUUCCUUGUGAACUGUGAAAAUAUGAAAUUAUGAUACGUGGCCCUACAUAACCACCUGCCAAACCAUAGACAUGCUUUUCUCACAGACGAUGUCGAUGACGUAUCUUUAAACCCCACGCGAUGAAACAGGUCCUAAAACAUUCAUUCACCCUGAAGAGUUUGCUGGUCCCUGGAGGAGGCAGCUGAGCACAGGGGUCUAGACCGGCUGCCACGGAAGUCCUGGGAUCCUUUAAAUUACCUCUGACUCUCACUGUGCACCUGUAAAAUGGGACCAUGCAACCUAAGGCUGCUGUCAGGAUGAUGUGAGUAAAUGCAUGUGAAGUGCUCAGCAAAAUCCCUGGACCACCGGAAGCGCUCAGGAAACAGCAUGAUUUUAAAAACUGAAAAGAGUAAGGCUUGGUUCUAGUGCUUAUUUAUCAGUGCACACGUGUCUUGGAAUGUGUGUAAAUAUCUCUAUUUACGUUGAAAUUGCAUCUACAGAGCUCAAACUAGUUAGUCAUCAGUUUCCUGCCACUUCCUAUUGCACAAAAGCCUUUCCUGUUCUCAGGACUGCUGACACUAGGAAGUAAAAGGACAAAUAACUCGAUGAAAAGGAGCCUUGAUCCCAGGCUGGCUGUGUGUCAGCAGCAACAAUGGCUGAUCCGAAGCUGGCGCGGGGCCUUCGUGCUCUCCAAGACCCAGUUUUCAGCUGCUAGAUGAUAGAAACAGUUCUGGGGCUGCGGGGUAAAGGUGGAAAAGGCGAGACUGCCUGCCUCUCGUCCCUGUCCUGUAAACCCCUGAGCUGGCAGCGAGUGGAGGGACCUGGGAAGAUGCCACCUGGUGGAGGGGCCGUGACUCAGGUGGACAGGCUCUGCCUUCCAGACCUGCGGGAGCUCCCACGACCCCAUCCACUCCAUCCAGACCUUCUAACACUAACCGUUGUGAGUGGACCCAGGGUUUAAAAUGUGAGGUCUGAGCAACGGAUGGGCUUUCUCCCAUCCCUGGCCCCGGGGCUCCGGCCUGCAAGCAUAGCCGAGUGAAGGAGCAGGGGCAUCCGCCCCCUGCCUGCUGAGCCAAACCAGGCUUUCUUAUGUCUCAGCAGACACUGGUAAGAAAAGCAGUGAACACCGCCACCCUGUUUUUAACAUCAGAUACCAUGGGAAAAAAUAGCUCGUGUUUUGGGGAACUUGAAAUCGCCAAGUGGGGUGGGAGGAGCCGACUGCCUUCACACUCACAAGUGGCUGCUGCAUGUCAGUUCCACUAGGUCGUGCAUGAAGCAACUGGAAGACAGUGACAGCUCUGGGUUCCCAGGGCCCUCCCUGAAGUGGCCUUGGUGUCUCCGAGGGAGCCAGCAGCCUCAGCUUCAGCAAGACUAGAUCUGAGACCAGGGUCAGAUCCAGUCCCAGCCCCAGGCCCUGCAUCGAGGCUCGGAAAAAUUUACCGGUGGAGCCAACACUUUCUCUUAGAGGUUUUCAAGGUAUCCAGAUGGUUUUCAGCAUGAAGGCCAGGACACACAAUUUAAUCAAGGUAGCUGAAAGGAGAAAAGAAUCUUCAAAUAAACAGUUUCAUAAUUAUGAGUCUGGCUUCACAGUGAAUCACAUACCCGUUAUAAUACUAAUGCUGAACAAAAUUUACAUUUGCAUCAUAUGUUUUCUGGUUACCAAGAGGGCCAGAGUUAUCAAUAGAUUCCUAAGGGGUGUGAUUCAGUCUGAACUAUAAGUGGAUCCCUGACGUUCUAAGGGCUUGAUAAGAAUUUUCCUCCAGUUAUCUGUUUCUAUAAAACUGGCUUAUUGUAACUUGUGGACAACAAUUAUGCACUAAGCAAAGGUAAUGCUUCAGACCAUUUGCAAAAAACUUGUCGCAUAUUUUCGGCCAGAUCUGCCCAAGGCAAAAUCUUGGCCAUAUCAUUGAACUGGGUGCAAAGGGCCCAAAUCUGAGCUCAGGGCUGGGCCUUCCCUCUGGCCUUCCCCUCCCCCACCCAGUUUCAAGUUCAGUAGCUUGCCUCUUUGCCUCUGCCUUCUCCCAGCCCAACAGCCUCUCCUGUCCCGGAGGUGCCAUGAGUGUGGGCUACUUGAAGCUUGCUGCUGUGACUGAUGGAGCUUUUUAUUUAUUUUUAUAACGUACUGUGCACUACUAGCAGCACAAUGUGUAUGUCCCAUAACUUUGUUCUUAAUGUCUGUCAUUGCACUUUCUGGAUGGGAGAUUUUGCAGGCUUGCCAGCAAAUAUAGCUUUAAAAAAAAAUUCGUAAGAUUUUUCCUUGUCAUUUAUCUUUCAUUUGAUACUGUGUUCAGUGGCCUCAACUUUGCUUGUACAGCAUUCAUUAACGAUAUCAUUCUAGGAGUUCCCUUGGGGGUUAAGGAUCCAGUGUUGUCACUGCAGCAGCUCGGGUCGCUGCUAUGGCCCGGGUUUGAUCCCUAGCCUAGGAACUCUCACAUGUCCCGGGCACAGCCAAAACAAAACCAAAACAGAACAAAAACCAAUGUCAUUCUAUAAAAGCAGCAAAGGGAAGUGCACGAGGAAAAAAAAAAAAAAAAAGAGUACAAGGAAACAAUUUCCAGAAGGCAAACUUGCUAGGAAGUGAGCUUAAUAGCAGUUUUAUUGUUCAAGUUCUAAACACAGAAAUGCCCCUCCUUGCCGCUAGCCCGGCCUCCGGCUCAUCUACCUCUCAACCCCAGAGCGCUCACGUGGCUCUGGUCUUCCCAUAUACCCUCAGGUUCAGGUUGGUUGGAGGUGGCUCAGGAGAGCUUUAAGAUUCUGGGCUGUUAUUAAAAUUGUUGGCAAGAUUUACAUUGCUGAGGAAAAGGUGCUGGUUUCUGUGUGAUGUUAACCAUAGGAAACUAUUUCAGAGAAGGAAAAAUAAGUAAAUAAAAGGGCCCUUGGACCUGUCAUUUGUUACUGGAAUCUGAUUAAAUUAGAUGACCUCACAAGACUCACAAAUGCUGUCCGUCAUGGGUCCCGGCCCCCACAGUGGUCCUGGGACUUGGUAGGAAAGAGCUUUCUGGGGCCUCAUAACUUCCACUGAUUAUUUCCUUUGUGUUCCCCACGACUUAGACCUUUACAAGCGUGACCCCACUUAGUCUCCCCAACACCCCUGGGUUGUUCACCAGGUUUGUAUCAAAUCCUGGCUCCAACAGUUUCUAGUUCUGCAGCCUUGGGCCGUUAAGUCCCCACUCCGUGCCUCUGCUUCUUCAUCUUCCAAAGAGGCUCCUUGUCCCAACUCUCAGUUGAGGAGUGGGCCUGUGUGAGUUCAGAUACGCAGAGGCCUGGCAACAGAGUCACAGCUCAGUAAUUGCUAUUGUUAGGCCCCAACAGGUGCCUCUGGUUUGCAGUCCACUUGCAGGAUCCUGGCAUCUGAUGAAGCAAAGAUCAACAGCAGUUUGUCAAGGUAUUUCUCUUCUUCCUGAGCACGCAGCUAAUCGACACUUCCCACCUCUCUUGAAGUUAGUCACGGCCACGUGACUGAGUUCCCGUGACAAAAUAUGAGCUGAGGCAAUGCCCUCCACUGUCACCUGUCCCAGAGGGGCCUCCUGGAUGAAGGCUUGUUGAAAAUGAGCAUCCUGAAAACACGGCCGGAGAAGGGGCCACCUUGCAGAUCUCUUCAGCUGCACCGUUCUGUUACCUCAAUAAGAAAUGCUGUGGUUGUCUUUAAUUAAUAUGCAUUUGGCGAGCUAACUUUUGCCAGCACAGCUCGUAUACAUUGAGCUCAAUAAAGGAUUGAUUCGUGGUAAACUGUUG